AGAAAGAAAAAAGUUUCCCUUUUCUGAGAGUCUACAGUCAAUCAUACAUUAAAUCUCAGUGAGCGCUGCUGUAGAAUUAAAAAAAAGAAAAAGAAAAGUGGUGUGGCUUUCAAAUUCUGAACUUUUUUUUGUUGUUGAAAGUGGUCAUGCAGCAUUCAGAGUUAACUUUCAUUAGAUCUCAGAUGGAUGUUUAAUUAUCAAGGACCUGUUUGUGCAGAUCUUUAAUUGCAGUGGGGCUGUUUAUGGAAUAAGUAGCAAAUGUAUAUAACCUAUAGACAGACAAUCUACCAAGUGAGCAGUAAAUUUCAAGCUCAGCCAGUUUUGCACAGCAUGGCAACUACAGUAUCAGCAUUAUUCCUGUGAAGUCUGAUUGAAUUCUUCCCUCACUUAAUUGUGUCUUUUCCAGUCUGGAGGAGAGAUCAGGUGUCUGUGCGUCUCUCGCUGCCCGCCACAGUGAGAAUGUUAAUCCAGUUUGGAAUGUGCUUCAGACGCUCCUCGGCAGCCCUCACCCAUGCAGCGCUCGUGACUCAGUUGUCUAUUACUCCUAGUUUCAUAACAUUGUUUAUUUCAUAACAUGGUAAGGACAGGAGAGAGACCACAACACAAUGAACCAGUACACUGAACAUUUGCUUGGCUGUUGUGCAAAAGGUGAAGAAAUCUUUUACCCAUCCAAGGUUACUGAGCACACACAGUUCACACACUAGUUCAUGUAGCGCAGAACUCUGACUCCUCUCAUCUACCUGUUGCUGGCGGAUCCGACCUCCCACUUUUUCUCUGUAAAUCUGCCUUCCUUCUUUUCCAACACAUUGUCCAUAUUGGCGUCCGUGACCCUGCCUUGAAAGGAUUAAUUGCAGUUUUAUGCUUUUUAUUUUUUUGUUCUGUUCGUUUUUCUGGGGGGUUAUUUUUAGGCCUUAAGUGUCUGGUUGCUAGGAGACAGUGUGAGCGGGCGAGCGAGAGAGAAAGGCAGGAGAAUGGGGGAGAGUUUGCGUUGUGAAGGCUGAAUUACAAACACGUUUGCGCUCUGAGUCAGCACUGACGCACACUACACACAUAAAUAAAGACUCACACAGGCUGUUUUAGUCCAGAGCCCUCAUUGUCGGCUUGUUUUUCUGGUUCUCUCUAUCUAUUCACCAGUACAAGCUCCACAUGUGCCUCAGACGCUUUUCCCUUUUUUCAAACUUAGACAUGCUGUCCUCUGACUGACACACGCACCGGCCACACUUCUGCCUAUGUGAGUUCAUAGACAGUAUGAGAAACCAGCAUGGGACCUGCGGCUGACGAGGAAUGAGUAAUGACAAAAGGGCUCGGCUUCAUAAACCUGCUGGUCUUUCUUUGCACUUCCUAAAUUCCAAACAUCCUACUUUGUUGUUCAUUAUCAGUCUGUAGGUGUGACAGGAGAGUUCCUCUGUCAGUAUUACUAGUGUGUGAACUGUGCACACAUGAGUAGAUUAUGUUGAACAUUUUAUCUCACUUCUGGUCUUGUGUUUCCUGUUCUCGUAAAUUCUUUUUGAUUUCUCUUAGAUUUGUGUGUGUGUGUGUGAAGAGAUUACUAGUCUCUAUCAGAGGUGAUAUGCAUGGACGAGCUCACAGGAAACAGAUCUGUUGUUGUGGUGCAGAACAGUUGCUGGCUUCCUGUCCCGCUGUAGUGGCACAUUCCAGGAAACCACCUCCCAAAGUUUAUAGGCUGACAGAAUAGUCCAAUGGGAUGGAAGUGUCCCGGGACCAAGCGUAACUUUGGGGAACUGCACUCUGGCUCCUCAUCCAGACGGCUUGUUUAUGAGCGUGAUAAAGUCCAGUCUCCUGGCCCACCUGAGAGAGGACAUCAGGUGCAGUACAUGAGGGCGCUAAUGUGGACAAUGUGGUGACUUUUGCCCCUUUCACUUCCCCUGUGAAAAACCU
This is a long non-coding RNA of Boleophthalmus pectinirostris (great blue-spotted mudskipper), 1899 nucleotides long. RefSeq lists it as uncharacterized. The record is from RefSeq and is a predicted model, not a curated record. The transcript is spliced from 3 exons. Lineage: Eukaryota; Metazoa; Chordata; Actinopteri; Gobiiformes; Gobiidae.